This 301-nucleotide ribosomal RNA is filed under the name uncultured bacterium. Its description in RNAcentral is "partial 16S ribosomal RNA". It matches the Rfam family "Bacterial small subunit ribosomal RNA", at positions 509 to 808 of the family's 1533-position model. The record is from RNAcentral.
CAGCAGCCGCGGGAAUACGUAGGUGGCAAGCGUUGUCCGGAAUUAUUGGGCGUAAAGCGCGCGCAGGCGGUUUCUUAAGUCUGAUGUGAAAGCCCCCGGCUUAACCGGGGAGGGUCAUUGGAAACUGGGAGACUUAGAGUGCAGAAGAGGAGAGUGGAAUUCCAUGUGUAGCAGUGAAAUGCGUAGAUAUAUGGAGGAACACCAGUGGCGAAGGCGACUCUCUGGUCUGUAACUGACGCUGAGGCGCGAAAGCGUGGGGAGCAAACAGGAUUAGAGACCCCCGUAGUCCCUGUCUCUUAUA